CAUGUAUAGGUUUCUGUUUCUCCACCCAAGAAAUAUAGGAAAUUCGUAGAAAUAGUGGGAGCCCUUGUUUAUUUUUAAAGUUUCUAGAACAAACAAUUACAAGUAUAAAUCAUCUAACUUGAAACUAUAUUCUUUGUAGAUCACCAUGUCGAGCUCAAAUCCAUUAGCUCGAAUCUUAGACACCAAUAGGUUGACCGACAUCAACUAUAAGGACUAGCUCUGAAAUCUUAGAAUUAUUCUCACUUUCGAGAAAUUGACACAUAUUCUUGACCAGG
RNAcentral lists this long non-coding RNA (275 nucleotides) under Elaeis guineensis (African oil palm). RNAcentral's name for it is "long non-coding RNA (EGUI_LNC051499)". The record is from RNAcentral. Lineage: Eukaryota; Viridiplantae; Streptophyta; Magnoliopsida; Arecales; Arecaceae.